GAGAUCAGCCUGUUAUCCCUAGAGUAACUUUUAUCCGUUGAGUGACGGCCUUUCCACUCAG
RNAcentral lists this transfer RNA (61 nucleotides) under Chaetoceros curvisetus. The record is from RNAcentral. Lineage: Eukaryota; Bacillariophyta; Thalassiosirophyceae; Chaetocerotales; Chaetocerotaceae.